RNAcentral lists this long non-coding RNA (426 nucleotides) under Sparus aurata (gilthead seabream). Its description in RNAcentral is "lncRNA (ENSSAUG00010004563.1)". The record is from RNAcentral. Lineage: Eukaryota; Metazoa; Chordata; Actinopteri; Spariformes; Sparidae.
CACACCUGCGACACAGGACGGGACCAUGACAGAGGAGACGAUGCGGAGUCAAAACACAGUCAGAAAUUAGUCUUUGGUGGGGAAAUAUUAAAAAAAAUAAAAACAAAAAAAACCUUCACAUGGACAAGAAAGCUGGAACAUUUUGCCGCAGGACAAACUCUACUUCCAUCAACAAAUCUGCCUCCAGCACCAAGAGACACGUCUGAAUCUGAAGACGCACCCGGAAGAGAGAAACCGGAGAGCCAUUCCAGCAUGGAGGGGAGGCGGGGUCUUCUCCUCAGCCUCAUCAUGGCUGCCUGUUUCUAUGGCAACGCCGCUCAGCUCAUGCCACAAUCAGUAGUAAGAGCUUCCCUCGCAGCACCCUGUGACCUCCCCAUGACUUCACAACCUUCCUCCUCAGUCUGCACUCAAGAGGCCGUCGCAGAC